RNAcentral lists this ribosomal RNA (497 nucleotides) under uncultured bacterium. RNAcentral describes it as "partial 16S ribosomal RNA". It matches the Rfam family "Bacterial small subunit ribosomal RNA", at positions 28 to 507 of the family's 1533-position model. The record is from RNAcentral.
GACGAACGCUGGCGGCGUGCCUAAUACAUGCAAGUUGAGCGCUGAAGGUUGGUACUUGUACCAACUGGAUGAGCAGCGAACGGGUGAGUAACGCGUGGGGAAUCUGCCUUUGAGCGGGGGACAACAUUUGGAAACGAAUGCUAAUACCGCAUAAAAACUUUAAACACAAGUUUUAAGUUUGAAAGAUGCAAUUGCAUCACUCAAAGAUGAUCCCGCGUUGUAUUAGCUAGUUGGUGAGGUAAAGGCUCACCAAGGCGAUGAUACAUAGCCGACCUGAGAGGGUGAUCGGCCACAUUGGGACUGAGACACGGCCCAAACUCCUACGGGAGGCAGCCGUAGGGAAUCUUCGGCAAUAGACGAAAGUCUGACCGAGCAACGCCGCGUGAGUGAAGAAGGUUUUCGGAUCGUAAAACUCUGUUGGUAGAGAAGAACGUUGGUGAGAGUGGAAAGCUCAUCAAGUGACGGUAACUACCCAGAAAGGGACGGCUAACUACGUG